AUGAUUUACUUAUUUUAGAAUUCAAUAUACAAUUUAUUAAUAAAAAAAAAAAUAUUCUAGUACGUCUCCUAAUUUAAUCUAGCUACAAAUAAUCUGUGGCAAAGGUCAGGCUAUGAGUCAUUGUACUUGGUACGACAGACAUGUUGCGUCCAAUCCUAGAGCUUCCCGCCUAGAGCCGCCACGGCGCAACCUAGCUGCGCAGCGCAUGCGCCCGCCCGCCCCGACUGCCGCACUACGUUGCGUACGUACGGCAGUGUCCCAGCGUGCUGGCGGCAGUCGGCGGGGACGCACGUCUUUCAUGAAACAAAUUUUGCACUCUUUUUAAACAAACUUUACUUAAAUUCAAUUCAUAAAUUUUAGUUAGUUUUUGUUUCAUAACUUGUAAAAUUCAUGCUAUCGAAGUUGCAUUUUACCCCGCGCGGGGGGGUGGUGGGGGGGCGCCACCCUAUGCUGUAUCGGACGCCGCCGAGUUUACCUCCAUUUCCUAGAAUUUGGACUCGGCGCGAGGCGGUACGGGCGCUGCAAUAGUAUUACAGGAGAGCUGUUUCGACGCUCGAGGGGAGUGGACGUAUUGCGUCGACAGCUGUCGGUCGCUAGUGGGAGCACACGGGCGGCGCGCGCCGGCGCGUGCUGCCGUGCGACCGGUCUGCUCUUGACCGUCUUAAGAAUUCUUCCCUAGUAUUUCUCAGUCCCAAAAUUUGGUGUGAAGACAUGUUAGAGGGGUAGGGGGGGAUAACGUUUGGUAUUCCACCGCGCAAGGGCGUCGCCCACAUCGAUCGUUGGCGACAAGCCUGCGCACAAGUACCCCACCCCAUGU
Long non-coding RNA from Spodoptera frugiperda (fall armyworm), 817 nucleotides. RefSeq lists it as uncharacterized. The transcript is spliced from 2 exons. The record is from RefSeq and is a predicted model, not a curated record. NCBI's taxonomy places the organism in Eukaryota, Metazoa, Arthropoda, Insecta, Lepidoptera, Noctuidae.